Molecule: ribosomal RNA, 746 nt
Filed under: uncultured bacterium
Lineage: Bacteria
Description: bacterial SSU rRNA
Rfam family: Bacterial small subunit ribosomal RNA
Source: RNAcentral
GCCCCGCAAGGGGUAAGUAGAGUGGCAAACGGGUGAGUAACACGUGGGUGACCUGCCUCAGAGUGGGGGAUAACGACCCGAAAGGGUCGCUAAUACCGCAUAACAUCCUGCUUUUGGACAAGUGGAGAUCAAAGCCGGGGAUCGCAAGACCUGGCGCUUAGAGAGGGGCCCGCGGCCGAUUAGCUAGUUGGUAGGGUAACGGCCUACCAAGGCAACGAUCGGUAUCCGGCCUGAGAGGGCGGACGGACACACUGGGACUGAGACACGGCCCAGACUCCUACGGGAGGCAGCAGUGGGGAAUUGUUCGCAAUGGGCGCAAGCCUGACGACGCAACGCCGCGUGGAGGAUGAAGACCUUCGGGUCGUAAACUCCUUUCGAUCGGGAAGAACGUUUUCGGGGUGAAUAAUCCCGAGAAGUGACGGUACCGAGAGAAGAAGCCCCGGCUAACUCUGUGCCAGCAGCCGCGGUAAUACAGGGGGGGCAAGCGUUGUUCGGAAUUACUGGGCGUAAAGGGCCAGUAGGCGGCCAACUAAGUCCGACGUGAAAUCCCCAGGCUUAACCUGGGAACUGCGUCGGAUACUGGAUGGCUUGAAUUCGGGAGAGGGAUGCAGAAUUCCAGGUGUAGCGGUGAAAUGCGUAGAUAUCUGGAGGAAUACCGGUGGCGAAGGCGGCAUCCUGGACCGACAUUGACGCUGAACGGCGAAAGCUAGGGGAGCAAACGGGAUUAGAUACCCCGGUAGUCCUAG